Molecule: ribosomal RNA, 497 nt
Filed under: uncultured bacterium
Lineage: Bacteria
Description: partial 16S ribosomal RNA
Rfam family: Bacterial small subunit ribosomal RNA
Source: RNAcentral
GAUGAACGCUGGCGGCGUGCCUAAUACAUGCAAGUCGAGCGAACAGACGAGGAGCUUGCUCCUCUGACGUUAGCGGCGGACGGGUGAGUAACACGUGGAUAACCUACCUAUAAGACUGGGAUAACUUCGGGAAACCGGAGCUAAUACCGGAUAAUAUAUUGAACCGCAUGGUUCAAUAGUGAAAGACGGUUUUGCUGUCACUUAUAGAUGGAUCCGCGCCGCAUUAGCUAGUUGGUAAGGUAACGGCUUACCAAGGCAACGAUGCGUAGCCGACCUGAGAGGGUGAUCGGCCACACUGGAACUGAGACACGGUCCAGACUCCUACGGGAGGCAGCAGUAGGGAAUCUGCCGCAAUGGGCGAAAGCCUGACGGAGCAACGCCGCGUGAGUGAUGAAGGUCUUCGGAUCGUAAAACUCUGUUAUUAGGGAAGAACAAAUGUGUAAGUAACUAUGCACGUCUUGACGGUACCUAGUCAGAAAGCCACGGCUAACUACGUG